UUUACACUGUUUAUGUUGAACGUUUUACCGUCCGUCUUAUUUAAAAAAAUUAUAAUAAUUAUUUUGUUGUUAUUAGAUGAUAAAACAUGGAUAAUACUUUAUAUGUGACAAUUUUAAAAAAAUCAUUAAUUUUUUUUAAAUAAGACGGAUAGUUAAACGUUAGACAUAGAAACAUACAACUGUAGUUAAA
Non-coding RNA from Oryza glaberrima (African rice), 190 nucleotides. Lineage: Eukaryota; Viridiplantae; Streptophyta; Magnoliopsida; Poales; Poaceae. The record is from Rfam.